Zingiber officinale is the source of this 4717-nucleotide long non-coding RNA. RefSeq lists it as uncharacterized. The record is from RefSeq and is a predicted model, not a curated record. The transcript is spliced from 2 exons. Lineage: Eukaryota; Viridiplantae; Streptophyta; Magnoliopsida; Zingiberales; Zingiberaceae.
UUACCUAGUGAGGUCCACUUUAAGCCUAAUCACUAUUUUAUUUUUGUGUGGCAUGCACUCAUAGCAAUUGAAACUCUAGAACUUGCUUAUUUUCUUUUCAAAGUCACAAUAGCAUAUGUGUGCAUGGUGAUAGAGGAUAUUUGUCAUUUUGCUCCAACAUAUUUUCCAUUUCCUUCUCCACAAUUUUCUUGAAACAUUUUCAUCUAGCAUUCUUAUUCUUGAUCUUCUUUGCUUGUCAUUCAUUUCAAUGAGAGUUUUGGGUGAUUAGCUUGAUGAGUGAUUGACUAGAUGGACAAAGGAUAAAGUGUGGGGGAGGUGUAUGAAUUCUGUACAAUCCGGAAAUGGAUCAAGAAUAUUUGGAAGAGGACUGCUGUUGCUGUUCAGAGAGUCUUUACGAAGCUGAAAUUUCUGAAGCUGUAACUAAAUAUCAUUGCAAUCUCUGAUAAUAAUGAUUUCAAUCAGAUUGUUGAGUUUUGAUUGCAAGAGCUGUGUGAACAGAUUAAUUAAGUUGUUAUUUUUCUUUAUUAUGCAAGAGAGCAGUUACCAGAAAGAAAUUUAUUUCUGCAGUAAUAAAAUUCUGAAAGAAUUUCAAGUUGUUUCAAUUCAUGAAUGGAUUUUGAGCUCAACCAAUUAGUGGAGCAUCUGGAGCAGCAAUAAUUUGAAUUCUAAUUCAUAACUCUCUAUUAAUCAAGCUGUUGUUACCUUGAAUUCCAAAAACAGGAAAAUGUUAAAAUGGAAAUCUGGAAAACUGAAUUGUUUGAGUAACAAAAAUCUGUUUGCAAGUUUUAACCUGAAUUUCUUUAAGAUUUAAUUUCUGGAAUUGAAGCUGUGAAUUGCAUAACAGAAUUUGAUUCCAGCUGUUGAAACCGUAGGGAAGGUAUUCAGUAAGUAUUGUUUCAGUUGGGACAUUUUAGCUAAGAAUUGGUAGACAUUAUCAGUGGUUAUCUUCUUUACAGAAUUAGUUGCAGCAAUUAUUUCUUUAAAAUCCUGUUUUGUGCCAACUUUCCUUUAAAUUUUCUGGGCAGCAAUGGGUACUGUAAACAGUGAGGUGAUAAUGCUGGAAAAAUGAUGCAGUUUUAUGUGGUAUCAAGAUGCAGAGCACCAUUCUGGUGGUAUCAAAUGGCUGGAUUUUGAAGUUGCAGUAAUUUUCUAAUUGAUGUAUGAGCUGAGACAAGAUGGGAAUUCAAGCUGUAAUGUGAUUCAAUUAUUGUUAAGUUCAUUGGGAAUGAAUUGUUGAAGCUUUGGUAGAUCAUGCAAAUUCCAGACUCGAGCACCAUAAUCUGAUACUGAAUUAUGGAAAUCAGAAUUCAGUUUGAGAUUGUUAUCAGAAACUAGAAGAAUCAAGUUCUGGAAAUAGAAGAUUUGGAAAUGCAGAAACAAUGAACUCUUGUAGCCGCUGGAGAUAGCAUUUUAAAAAUUUCUUGGAGGCCAUGUCAGUGCAACUGACACUUGGUGCAAAAUAGAUCAGACUAAUGCAUUUUCAGCAGUACUUCUGAGGUUUAAAUGCAAAGAAUUUCUAUGAUACAAAUGGAACAAGUGAAGUUGGUGGAGAAUAUGCUAUGUACAGAAUUAAAUAGAAGUGUUGAGCUUUCUGGAUUAAAAUUUGAAUCAACAUGAAUCCUGGAAUUGUAGCUAAAUCAAUCUGCUGUAAGUGAACAAAAGUGUGGAGCUGAGUCUUUAAUCAGAAAUGCAGAAAUGGAGAUUGGAAAUGGAUUUGGAAAUGUUGAAAUUGUAUCCUGUUUAGUGCAAAAUAUGUGUGCUGAUUCUGAUCAGUAGCAACUGCAAUUCAAUUUCUUAUUCAUUUUAUGCUAAAUGGAACAGAACUGCAUAAGCUGAGAAAUCAGUUUCAAAUGCUGGAAAUUCUGAAGUUGAUUUGUGCAUGUUUUUGAUUCAAUGGAAGAUUCAAGCAAAGGCUAGUGUAUGAACUUGCUGGAAAUGUAGUGUUGUAUGUGCAGGAAUUGGUAGCUGCAUUUCAAUGCUGAAAUCUGUUAUGCAUUGCUGGAAGUUUUUGAAACCUCUUUGUACUUGAGUGAUAUUAUGUGCUGAAAUUUCAGAAUUGGUUUCUGAAGUUCUAUUAAAUUUAAACAGAAAUUUACUUCUAUGUAAAGUGGAACCACCUUUUAAGAGGUUGCGGGAACAAGUGCUAGUACAAGUGCAGAUUAGUCUAAUGGAUCCAGAAUCUGAAUUUAGAAUUGCAGGAAUUCUCUGAAAUGAAUCGGAAGUCUUAAACUAUAAACCUUUUGGCAGCUGAAAUCCAUAGAAUUCUUGCUGAAUUGGAUCUGAAAUGCAGUAAAUUACAGAUGCAGAAACAAGAAUAUGAGGCUACAGUAACAGAAUUUGAAAUGCUUGGAAUUGUUUUGAAUCAAUGUUGUAUCAUAAUUCAGGAACAACCUUAAAACCAAUGUGAAACUCAAGUUAGUGUUUCUAUUGUGCUGAAAGAAAUGGUAUUCUACCUUCCAUGGCAUCAACAAAAUAAAAAAAAAAUGAAAGUCAGAAACUUUUUCUAGACACAGAAAUGCAGAAACAAGAUAUUUUUGGUAGUUACUGAAAUUUGACUUAAAUGGACCAUAAUUCGGAAUUAAAUUGGUGGGUAACAUUUCAUCAGUGAAGCAUUUGAGCAUUGCGUCAAUUACUCUGAAAAGUUGAAGAAAAGGGUAGCACUUGACACUCAAAACAGUGAGGUUAAAAGCUGGAAACAGAACUCAGUUUAUAUGUGGUAUCAAGUGUGUGCAACUUUUUCAUUAUCAUCCCUUGAAACCCUUGGAGAAUUAAUUAAACCUCUUGAAUUUCCAGCAGCCUUUGUUGUUUAUCUUCCUUCUAUACUUUUCAAACCUGCUGAAUAGAAUUCGGAUGGUAUCAAAAUUGCAGAAUUCUGUUGGGAAGUGGAAUAGCUCACUUAGCUAGAUUUGAUACUGCACUUCACAUCUGCAGGAAUUGGGAAAGCAGAGGAAGGGUUGUCAUUAGUGAGCUAUUGGAGAGACUGGAGCAAUGACAGGAAGCACAAAUUGACAAGAAUUAAGAAACAGAAAUGGAUAGGAAUGAGCAGAGUGCAGGAAAUCAGGAAUUUGGCAUUUCUGUGCCAAAUGGAAAAUGAAUUGUAAUGAGCUGUAUUGCUGGAAAGUGGGAAUUCUGCAGAGAAAUGGAAGAGGCAUUUCUGUGGUUGGAGUUGUUUGUGAUGUGGAAAAGUGGGGCUGCUGUGUGCCAGAUCAUUUUACAAUUUCUUCACCAGAAUAGAAACAAACUUCUUGAACUCCUUUGAAGCUGCUUAACCACUUAAAUCUGAACUUUUCUGCUGCAUUGGUGUGAAUUCUGCAGAGAUUAUCUUGAAUCUGAAUUCAAAUAACAAGUUCUGAAUUGUAUACAUGUUGCUAAAGACAUUGUUUCUGCAUUUCAGUGUCUGAAAUCAGAUUCAUAGAAGUAUUACAGAAUUUUGAUUCUUCACAGUUUUAGAAAUUCCUUAAAUCAAUUAUAAGCUGGAAUUAGUUCCCUACCUUUGCUGCUAAUGAAAGAGCUUGAGUUGGUAUUCUUAUGAGUUUCAAUUCUAGACUGCAGUAGGAGUAAAUCAUGAUUGCUGAAACUGCAAUGGUGUUGGAAUUGCAGUACAGAAUUCUGUCGUUGUGCUACUUCUAAGGAAGAAUACAAGAUAUUUGAAUAUCAGUUUUAUUCUGAAUUUGAAAUGCAGAAUUCAGAAAUGCCUUGUCCAAGCUUAUGCCAUUAGCAGGAACUUGCUAUCAUUAUAUGUUUUGUUCCUUCUUUUCCGAGCUCACCUUGAAUCGAGAUAUGCAACUCCAAUAGAUUGACUUUCUUAAACUAUUCAGUUUUACAAGAAAUUUGGAAAGUAUGCUUGUUAAGGAAGGUGGUAUUAGGAGUGUUCACUUGCAACAUGAUAGGGAACUAAAUUUAGAUGCAAUGGCUGCAGAACUUGAGAUUGCUGCCUUAAAAACUGAAACAAAUCUGCAGCUUUGGUUCUGGACUGUUUUUGCAGCAGAAGGAAGUAAAAUUCAAGCUGAAUUUUUUUUUUGUGCCAUUGUAGGAAAAGAGAUUAAGUCUUGCAGCCAGUCAAAUUGGUAGAAGAAGAUGUUAAGAUAAAAGAAGUUAGCAUCUAGAGUUGAAACUGCAACCUGAUUUGAAGGCUGACCAGUUUUGUGCCAAUGGUGUGCUAAUUCUUCCAUGUGAUUCUCAAAUUAGUGAGAAACUCAAGUAGAGUUGUUGCGUUCUCAGUGAAAAUUAUCUGACAUUUGCAAUGAAUUAAAAAUCUUGAAUGGGAUGAGUUCUGGAAAUUGAAGACUAAACUUGGAAAUGCAGAAAUGUAUUAGUGUUGUGCCAAGCUUAGAUCUGUUCCUUGAAUUUGGUUCUCCAUCUGCGUGGACAUAAGGGCAGCCUGCUGAAAUCAUUUUCUGAAUUUGGUAACUGAGUUCACAGUUCUAGAAUUUAAUUCUGAAUCCUUCUAAACUGAAUUUCAAUUCUAAUUGUAGUUCUCAAGCAAAGUGGGAAGGUUAAUUGCUCAUUUCUUGCACUGCAGUUCAGCUUGAAAAAUUCCAGGUUCUACAUCCAUGGAAAUGCAUGCUCUAUAUCCUGAUACUGGUCCUUAUGUAGCCUUAAGAAACUUCACAGAUUUAAAUUGAUUCUUUACUGCAUUUCAGCAAUUCUACAAUUAAGUUCAGAAACUAGUUUCAUUAAUCAGAUUCUGUUUAUAAUGAAUUCGAGUCUGAAAAAU